RNAcentral lists this ribosomal RNA (254 nucleotides) under uncultured bacterium. Its description in RNAcentral is "partial 16S ribosomal RNA". It matches the Rfam family "Bacterial small subunit ribosomal RNA", at positions 524 to 776 of the family's 1533-position model. The record is from RNAcentral.
GACGUAGGGCGCGAGCGUUGUCCGGAAUUACUGGGCGUAAAGAGCUCGUAGGUGGUUUGUCGCGUUGUUCGUGAAAACUCACAGCUCAACUGUGGGCGUGCGGGCGAUACGGGCAGACUGGAGUACUGCAGGGGAGACUGGAAUUCCUGGUGUAGCGGUGGAAUGCGCAGAUAUCAGGAGGAACACCGGUGGCGAAGGCGGGUCUCUGGGCAGUAACUGACGCUGAGGAGCGAAAGCGUGGGGGAGCGAACAGG